AGUCACUGACAUUAGAUACCCCCGGUAGUCCAGGGUGUAAACGCUGCAGACUUGGUGUUGGAAAUCCUUCGAGGGUAUUCAGUGCCGGAGAGAAGUUGUUAAGUCUGCUACUUGGGGAGUACGUCCGCAAGGAUGAAACUUAAAGGAAUUGGCGGGGGAGCACCGCAACGGGAGGAGCGUGCGGUUUAAUUGGACUCAACACCGUAAAACUCACCAGGGAAGACUGUUACAUGAAGGCCGAGAUGAAGACUCUGCUAGAUUUUUCAG
RNAcentral lists this ribosomal RNA (267 nucleotides) under uncultured archaeon. Its description in RNAcentral is "partial 16S ribosomal RNA". It matches the Rfam family "Archaeal small subunit ribosomal RNA", at positions 715 to 982 of the family's 1478-position model. The record is from RNAcentral.